RNAcentral lists this ribosomal RNA (504 nucleotides) under Triticum aestivum (bread wheat). RNAcentral's name for it is "partial small subunit ribosomal RNA". Lineage: Eukaryota; Viridiplantae; Streptophyta; Magnoliopsida; Poales; Poaceae. The record is from RNAcentral.
AUGGUUGAGCAUGGGAUUCUCCCAUCGACCACGGCGACGUAUGAUGACUUGAAUGACUUUUGCCACCAUAUUGAGAGUGAGAGUGACUUCACCACUAGCCCCAUAUAUGAUGAGCCGCCCCAAUUCCCAUGUGAGGAGAGCCACCACCACCACCACUUGAGUGAUUUGAGUGCCUCCACCAUAUGCGACAUUGAGUGCACCUACCUUGAGGGAGUGAGUGAGCCACCGCCACAUAGAGAGAGUGAGAUAGUUGAUGAGGCAUAUGAGGCCAUUUCGGUUUCUAACAAAUUAACCUCUACCUCUAUUGUGUCUUCUCAUUUGGUGCUAGGUCCCAUAUAUGAUGACGCGCCGAUCCUCGAUGACUUUGUCCUCCCUUUGGACAUGACGAUGGCCAUGGUGGACUAUGAUGCACCCCCACAUGGUUCCAUCAUGAUGAAGAUGAACACAAUUUGGUCUUCCCCACCUCACCUACACCACUUGAGUGGAACGACAAAGGUAACAUAG